GGCUCUUUGGCGUUGUGGUCAAGUCGCAGGUUUGGUACCCCGUAGACCCGGGUUCGAGUCCAGGUGGGGUGA
This 72-nucleotide transfer RNA is filed under the name Megalops atlanticus (tarpon). RNAcentral's name for it is "tRNA-OTHER". Lineage: Eukaryota; Metazoa; Chordata; Actinopteri; Elopiformes; Megalopidae. The record is from RNAcentral.